This 1088-nucleotide long non-coding RNA is filed under the name Ursus maritimus (polar bear). RNAcentral's name for it is "lncRNA (ENSUMAG00000014611.1)". The record is from RNAcentral. Lineage: Eukaryota; Metazoa; Chordata; Mammalia; Carnivora; Ursidae.
GAGAGGGACCAGGUGAAGAUUUCGGCCACCUCUGCCCUGGGCUACAUGUUGCGUCAGGUUGACAAAUUCAAGCCUGGACUCUCCACCCGAAGAGAGAUCUACACUUUUCUAGUCCCACUGCUGCUUAGCAUUCAGGAUAACAACACCGAGGUAGUCAAGGCCUGCGGUGGGGCCCUGACCGAGUGGACCAAUGUGAUUGGCUGGUCAUCACUCACACAGACAUUCCGGCAUACCACCCUCAGCGAUCACAUCCAGGUAUUGGAAGAAACGUGCAGGUACCUGGUGAGCACAAGCAAAACACAGCUGGUGGGGGACUUACUGUGCCAGAGCUUUGGCUUCCUGAAGAGCCCUCAGUCCUUCCUAAGGGCAGCUGCCAUCAACUUCAUAGGAUUAACAGCUAAGAAGCUAAGCAUGAGUCAAAUACAUGAGGAUGAUGUGGAGCUGUUACAGAAUGCUAUUGGAAGUCUGAGGAAUGAUCCUGUGGAGUCUAUCCAGUCUUUGGUCAAUACUACUCUGAAAAAAAUUGAUGAAUAUGUUAACCCCGGGUCUGUCUCUACUUCCAGGAUGAGCCAGUUGAGCAAUAAUAUUUUCAAAGUCACUGGCAUGAAAACCCCCAAAAGAAAGAAGCGACUGUUUAAGAGUAUCAAACGGGAAAGAGAUGAUGGUGACAAUCAGAAAAAGAAAAUCUGGAAGUGGCUUCAAAGACCUCUAAAUUCAUUGCGAAACCGGUACAAUAGAAGGGUGAAAAAUAUUCCACUCAUAAUAGGCAAUUCAGACAAAUCGUCAAUGCUAUCACAGGUCCCGACAUUUGAAAGUCCACCUGCAGAAGCUGGGCCUACCGCCAAAUAAGUUGCUCCUAAUUGCUCUGGGACUCCAGCCUUUUCCAUUUGCUUGUCUAGAUGUCAGUACUUUGCUUCCCAGUAGCCCUCCUACCAUAGUCCAACUGGAUGGGCUACUUUGGAUUAAACCCAAGGAGGCAGUUUUGAUCUAGAAGACACAGUAUGUUUCUGGUCCUUUCUCUCCCUAGGGGAUUGUUGGGUAUCAGCAUAUGCAUUUGUCAAUAAAACUUAUUUUCUCAUUCUAAGACA